RNAcentral lists this long non-coding RNA (1728 nucleotides) under Anas platyrhynchos platyrhynchos (common mallard). RNAcentral describes it as "lncRNA (ENSAPLG00000022020.1)". Lineage: Eukaryota; Metazoa; Chordata; Aves; Anseriformes; Anatidae. The record is from RNAcentral.
ACCCCCUGCCAGUCCCUGUGCUCUCCACAGACCCCAGUUAUGAUGUCUACUACGAAGGGGAACGCGUUGCUUUCAUAUGCACGGCUCCGACGAUGAAGAGCGUAGAUGGAUUUCGGUUCUUCAAUCGAAGUGGGGACCAAGUCUACAAACGUACUUCCUACUCUCACACAAUUGCCUGGUUCCAGCUCACAGCUGCAAAAGCGUCUGCCAUGGAGUACACGUGCAUGUACUGGGUGAAGGAUGCUGGACGAGAAAUUCUUUCCAAUAGGAGCCUUCCUCUUUCAAUCAACGUUCAGGAUGCUCCAGUGGCCCCGGUUUUGUCCCUGGAUCCUCAGCAGCCAGUCUACAGAUACGGGAACAAUGUCAAGCUCCUCUGCACCGUCCCCUUUUCUUCAUUCUACAUCAGAGAAUUCCAGUACUAUGGAGACUUUGGACUUGCAAUCUCCAUCCCAGUUGUGAAACUGCAAAACUACAGCUACAACCUGCAAAUCACAGGAAGGGAGGUCUCCGGGUCUUACAGUUGUGCCUAUUUUGUAUUUAAGUCUGGACGUGCCGUUCGCUCCGAGAGCAGCCCCUGGGUCAACGUCUACGUGAAACGCCAGAUAAUCGGCUGGGUUCGAGAGAUCCUUGUUGGUGGCUCGUUCUUUACCAUCAAUGGCCUCAUCUUUUUCUUCUCCCACCGCCUCAAGAAGAAAAGAGAUCUGGAAGAAGGAUUCAGGAUGGACUAACAAGAUGAGUUAGAAGAAGAACCCUUAAAGGUUUUACUCUGUUUUGCCAAGGCAAUCCGUUCCGUUGGGCCCUGCCUGAUUCCUCAUUGUCUGCCUCAGUGUCCUGAAGAGACAGAAGCAGUGAACUGGAAGUACCUGACUACUCCUCUCCUCUGUGCACAACCCCAUGCCUUGAGUCUUACCAAUUAAAGCUGGUUGUUGUAUUUAGGUCUUGUGUGUUUCAUGGGAAGGUGUUUCUUUCCAUCCUCCUUCCUGAAGUGUGUGUAUUUGUGUGUGCUUGUGCACAGCCUCGGGGUCAUGGCAGAGAAAAUCUCUGGGUUUUAGGGUUGUGACUAUUUUGCAUUUCAGUCUAGACGUGCUGUUGGCUCAGAGAAGACCCUCUGGGUUGAUUUGUGCGUCUGCUCUAUCCCACACCUAACCCACAAUUAAACCUGGUUUUUGCUUGCCUCUGAAAUUCAGCCUCAUUUCUGAAUUUUCACAGCACCUCCUCUGUGGAUGAGCGUGGUGUUAACCAGGCCUGCCCCGUGGGGCUGAGUUUCCCUUCCUCCAAGAAGACACAAGGCACUGUCCCCUGGGCAUUGCCUUGCUGCUUUGACCUCAGCCAUCGCUCACAAGGAUGCAGUCGGCUGUUGCUUCUUCCAGGCAACCCCGUGGCACCUCCUCGAGGUCUUCCCAGCCCCAGGAGGUGAUCGAGGAGUCCUUUUGGCCAAGGCGAGGAGGAGCAGGGUAUUUCUGUGUGAAUACUUAAGGUUUGCCCACGCAAAGUCAAGUGAGCCAGGUGAGAACCCCAAACUCCUCGAGGAGCAGCAGAUCUUAACCCAUGGAUCCAGCUGGCAAAGGAAUGAUUUGGAUAUAUAAGAGCUUUUUCUUUUCCACCUUAUUUCAGGAGGGCUUCAGGAAAAGGGGAGCUGUGGGCUCCCAAGCUUCCACUCCACGCCAGGCUUCAAAGACACGGUGGCCAAAGAAAGAUUUUUCUUCAGCAUCUCCCACUGCCAUAGCU